UACGAAGGGAGCUAGCGUUGCUCGGAAUCACUGGGCGUAAAGCGCACGUAGGCGGCUUUUUAAGUCAGGGGUGAAAUCCUGGAGCUCAACUCCAGAACUGCCUUUGAUACUGAGAAGCUUGAGUCCGGGAGAGGUGAGUGGAACUGCGAGUGUAGAGGUGAAAUUCGUAGAUAUUCGCAAGAACACCAGUGGCGAAGGCGGCUCACUGGCCCGGUACUGACGCUGAGGUGCGAAAGCGUGGGGAGCAAACAGG
RNAcentral lists this ribosomal RNA (253 nucleotides) under uncultured bacterium. RNAcentral's name for it is "partial 16S ribosomal RNA". It matches the Rfam family "Bacterial small subunit ribosomal RNA", at positions 524 to 776 of the family's 1533-position model. The record is from RNAcentral.